AGUAGACCUCUCUGUCGUUCUCUCUGUGCUUUGCUGGAGCUCUUACAUAACGUAACUCACCGUCCAAAAUGUGGGUAGGUCGUCCAGCGCUCAUCCAGCCAGCGGAGCGCAUGCGCGCGUCUUUUUGCUGUCGCUCUCUGUCUCUACACGCCCCCCUCCCAUCUUCCAUCCCAGUCCGCCUAUAGGUUCGGCGCAAAGGUAAAAGGAGGAAAAUAGGAGGCUUUAUAGACAUCCACUUUGCUCUCUCUGCCUUGCUGCCUGUUUCACUCCUUUCAGUCUUUUUGAGUUUUUCCAGCAGCGCGCCGAAAAUGCCAAGCAAGAGGAAGAAGAACAAGCGUCGCAUGAGGAGGGUGCAAGCCCAGAGGAGAGCACUUGAGGAUCAACAUGCAGCCAAUCCACCAAUCAAAUCCAGCUCAGGGAUUGCCAUUAGUGCGCCCCCUACAGCAACUCCCAAAAAAGCAGCUAAAAUUUCACCACCCACUCGAGAAAAGCCCCCACAGGUCAUUCCCAUUUCUGCCCCUGCAGUGGAACCUCCAAAAUUUGAACCACAGCCUGUUGUGAAAGAAGAAGCAGCAGAGGCCUUUGUGGUUGAGGUAGCCGCAGCAGAUGAUGGUGUGCUGUUGGAGCAGGCUACUGUGGAGCCGGAAUCCAGAGUGGGGGAUGAAGUUGAAGGUCCAGCACGUGUCGCCAAAGAAGCAGCAGUUGAAAGUAUUCCUCCAGCGGAACCCUCUACGGUUGAAGCUAAAGAGGCGAAAGAGGCUGAGGUUCCUGUUUCUGAAACAGAGCCUGUCUCUGAGACAGAAGACAAUGAAGACACACAGACAGAGAUGGGUCAGACACAAGAUGUCUGCGAGGCAGACUCUGAGAUAGAUGUGACCCUGACAGAAGAAGACACUGAGACCAAGGAGGAACUAGAAGUGUCCAUCACUGAAGAAGUAACCAUAUCAGAGUCGGUAAAGGAACAAGCAGAAGAACCAGUGAUAGAAGAUCUUACCAGUGACCAAAGUCCUGCUGACGUAGAACAUGCUGCAGAAAAAACUGAAUCUGAUACUGGAUCAGAGGUGGACGUUGUCAUAGAAACACUUGAGCCUGCAGAGCCACCUGAGGAUGGGGAGGAAAAACUGGAAGACUCAGCUGCACUCAGAGUCCAGACUGUUGCAGCCAUAGAGGAUGCUCUUGGCCCACCUGUGGAAAUCCCAGCAGUACUAAAUACAAUCACUGAAGCUCCUCUGGAUGAAGCUGACCCGCCUGUUGUUGAACAUACAGAGGGAACGGCCGACCUGCUACUCCAACAAUCAGCUGUUACUGAAUCUGUGUCAACAGCGAAGGAUGUUUCAACAUCUGCUGUUGUGCAGCAGGAAGCUGAUGGAACUGGGGACACUUUUAUCACCCAAACAGAAGCUACUCCUGCAGAUCCAGAAACAGAGUCUGCUGCUCCUGCAGGGGAGAUUAUUGCUGCCAACCAAAAGUGUCUGGAUGUGUUGUCAGAAGAAGAGAAAUCUGGAGGCUGUGAUGUUCCAUGUCAGGGACAGCUUCCUGUUGAGGCUGUGCAGCUUGGUGGAGUGGAGCUUUCAGUGGAAAUAACACAGAAUGGAAACAUUGUUCCUGAGGUCUCCAUUGAGGGUUAAAGCCAAGGCACACAGCUCUGAAGACCUUUUUCUAUGUGUAAGACUCUAAAAAUUCCUGUUGGAGGACUCAAAGCUUUCCAGGGAGUCAACCAGACCUUUUCAUUUUUUAAGGCUUAAGGCAGAACAGGCAGGAAAUCGAAGUGGGCAUCCACACUUUGAAGUGCCUUUUCCUGUCCUGUACUCUGCUGAAACAUCAAACCAGAUGUGAACAUGCAGAAACGGCUUCUCUCACGACAGCAGCUGAGACCUAUGAAAAAAGCAUCUUUGGUUCUUUUAAAUACUUUGCUAUGCAACAAAGUCACGUAUAAUGACUAUAGUAGUUCAGGAGAAGAUGCUGAAGGCAUGACAAUCAGCAACAGAAAUAUUUUUGCAUCUUCUGUCUCCCAGAAUAUCUUUCUCCACAGUGCAUAGACUUUAUGCAUAUCAGUAGACUUGUAGCAUUGAUAAUUGGGUCUGUAGUUUGUUUAUUGGACAUAGAUGUGUUGUUUUUGUGCUGUUUUUUUGAAAGUCACUCGUUUAGCUCACCACUGUCUUUUCAAAACAUAAACCUUCCAAUAAAAUUAAAACUGGGGUAACUUUUAUUAAAAACAUAUUUUUUACAUAUUUGUCUCAUUCUAUAUUGCUACUACAGUAUAGAAUGAGACAGUUUGUGAAAAAAACAUGUUUUAACAUUACUAUAGUCAUGUUUCAUGACUGCUUUACCAAGGAUUUGGUGAAGCACCCCCUCCCACCUCAAUUUUUUUUGCAGUUGUUUACAGCAGUUUUGUAUAAACAACUCCCAAAUGUGAACUAAGUCAGUGAUUUAAAGCAAAACUUCACCUUGGUGUAGGUCACUAUUGAACUAGCCGUUUAGCUUUAGCUGGGAGAGCAACUAAUUUGGGUUUACACUAAACAAAGAUGGCAAAAGAAUCGUCUUCUUUGGCCAAUUCAUUUGCUCCUCAUAUCCUUUAACAGAACCAUACUUCAAAACUUCACAAAUCCAUUUCCUUUUCUGUCUACCAUUGUUCACUGUCUUGACAAAGUGCCACUGUUGUUACAAAGCUACAUUGUAAAGAGCAAGCUUUGAUAUUGAACAGAAUAUUGAAUAUCAAAAUGAAUUUUGCAAUUCAUUUUGUAUACACAGAGUAAUGCAUAUGAUUGUGUUGAAAUUGGUACAUUAUGAGUUAUUGUUUUGCUGUCUUGACCUGUGAAAUAAAGUUAUAACUCAGA
Gambusia affinis (western mosquitofish) is the source of this 2837-nucleotide RNA transcript. It is a transcript of the gene named fibrous sheath CABYR-binding protein, with no coding region annotated. The transcript is spliced from 11 exons. Lineage: Eukaryota; Metazoa; Chordata; Actinopteri; Cyprinodontiformes; Poeciliidae. The record is from RefSeq and is a predicted model, not a curated record.